Molecule: ribosomal RNA, 429 nt
Filed under: uncultured bacterium
Lineage: Bacteria
Description: partial 16S ribosomal RNA
Rfam family: Bacterial small subunit ribosomal RNA
Source: RNAcentral
AACGAACGCUGGCGGCAUGCCUAACACAUGCAAGUCGAACGAGACCUUCGGGUCUAGUGGCGCACGGGUGCGUAACGCGUGGGAACCUGCCCUUAGGUUCGGAAUAACUCCCCGAAAGGGGUGCUAAUACCGGAUAAUGUCUUCGGACCAAAGAUUUAUCGCCUUUGGAUGGGCCCGCGUUGGAUUAGCUAGUUGGUAGGGUAAAAGCCUACCAAGGCGACGAUCCAUAGCUGGUCUGAGAGGAUGAUCAGCCACACUGGGACUGAGACACGGCCCAGACUCCUACGGGAGGCAGCAGUGGGGAAUAUUGGACAAUGGGCGAAAGCCUGAUCCAGCAAUGCCGCGUGAGUGAUGAAGGCCUUAGGGUUGUAAAGCUCUUGUACCCGGGAUGAUAAUGACAGUACCGGGAGAAUAAGCUCCGGCUAACUC